Loxodonta africana (African savanna elephant) is the source of this 1256-nucleotide long non-coding RNA. RefSeq lists it as uncharacterized. The transcript is spliced from 2 exons. NCBI's taxonomy places the organism in Eukaryota, Metazoa, Chordata, Mammalia, Proboscidea, Elephantidae. The record is from RefSeq and is a predicted model, not a curated record.
GCCCUGUGCGUCGCAGGGCCGCGUUCUCCGGCCGACGACAGACGCGGGCCUGACUGGACACGCGCUGCCCCAGGACCCGGGCAGGAGGCCUGUGAGGUAUUUGCCCGCCCCUCCCCUUGACCGACUAGUGACCAGUGUCUCCGUAACAGUGUGAAGUCGUGGACCGUGGUGGAGACCUGGAGUGAUUCUGGUCACUUCAACGUUUUUGGUUUACUUUUCGUCGUAUUGUAGUAAGGUAAUUCCUGCACCUAUUUCGGCACGUCUACCUGUGGAGGGACCACAGAGCUCUGCGUCGUGCAAGCGAGCAGUCACAGCGGCCUGGAGCCCCCCUGGGGUGGGACUAUCUUAGAGGCUUCACCCAAACACAUGCUCUCGUACCUAAAAACUUGAGUCCAGGAAAUUCCUUUUAUCCACCAGAGGGGUACGGCUUCUUUCUGUCCUGCCACCGUCACCCUGUCCCCAGGCGCCGGGCUGGGGACCCAUGUGUACCCAUCGCGGCCCAGAGGGAAGUUACCACCACAGCAGGAGGUUAUCGUAGAAUAGAUUUAUUUACCUGAAACCAUGUCUGUGCAAUGUUGGUUACAGCACAGAAAUAAACAACUGAUGUCUAUUUACAGUCUAAAGUCACACAUGCGUUGUGAUAAACUGACGUUUAGCAUCUUAUUGAGAUAAAUGCACACAAUAUUCGUAUUGCACCAACAUCUGUCUACUGCUUCUGAUCUCAUUAAAUAAGUUACGUUUAAUACAGCGCAAAUGAGCUGUCUGCACACUCAAAAGUGACUGAAGUUAUGAACUGGAGGGCUGCAUUUUAACCAUUCAACACAUGUAGUGUUUCCAAUGAAUUUAUAAAUAAGCAAACUGUACAGGGCCAAUUAAAAAGUGGCAUAUUUCAAUGACAUCGGAGAGAAAUCUGGCUACUUACAACGGAAGGCAUGCAUUACAACUGAGAACUGAAUAUUAUACAUUUACAUAAGCUGGGACGUUUUGCACAGAGAAGAAUGGAGACUUGGCUGAUGGCUUCUAAGUUCUUGGAUGAGGUUGCAGAACCUCAUUCUUCUUGCAGCAAAGAAACCAAACUUCUCUGGAGAGGUUUCUGGUUCAUUCAGCUAAAUUGUACAUUUGUAAUUAUUCUCAUUGAAAAGCUAAACACCCCACUGCUAAUACACAUCUCCUCCACAGAACACACAGAGUCGGGGAAGCUUGUCUCCUUCCCCCAACAUCAAUCAUGCAGAGGUCGGUAGAUGUAUUGCUAAAAA